AUUGAACGCUGGCGGCAGGCCUAACACAUGCAAGUCGAGCGGAUGAAGGGAGCUUGCUCCUGGAUUCAGCGGCGGACGGGUGAGUAAUGCCUAGGAAUCUGCCUGGUAGUGGGGGAUAACGUCCGGAAACGGGCGCUAAUACCGCAUACGUCCUGAGGGAGAAAGUGGGGGAUCUUCGGACCUCACGCUAUCAGAUGAGCCUAGGUCGGAUUAGCUAGUUGGUGGGGUAAAGGCCUACCAAGGCGACGAUCCGUAACUGGUCUGAGAGGAUGAUCAGUCACACUGGAACUGAGACACGGUCCAGACUCCUACGGGAGGCAGCAGUGGGGAAUAUUGGACAAUGGGCGAAAGCCUGAUCCAGCCAUGCCGCGUGUGUGAAGAAGGUCUUCGGAUUGUAAAGCACUUUAAGUUGGGAGGAAGGGCAGUAAGUUAACACCUUGCUGUUUCGACGUUACCAACAGAAUAAGCACCGGCUAACUUCGUG
This 484-nucleotide ribosomal RNA is filed under the name uncultured bacterium. RNAcentral describes it as "partial 16S ribosomal RNA". It matches the Rfam family "Bacterial small subunit ribosomal RNA", at positions 30 to 507 of the family's 1533-position model. The record is from RNAcentral.